GGUGAAAAGUUCCGGGGUAGGUAUGGUCAAUAUUGGCGUCUGGCUAUCCAAAUUGGCGGUAGGGGUCGAUUAAAUAUUUUUUAGGCUUAUGUUCACAUAUUUUAGUAUAAGUAAAGAUUCAGGAAUGUAGUAAACACCCUUAGCAUUAUUUUGAGCUAUAAUAAAAACCCAAUGGCAUGCCUGGGCGGUGCUUGUGGAAGAUUUUCACUCUAAUGGAUAUUUGCCUUUAUGUUGGUUUCCUAGGCUUUUAUGAUGGUUUAUCGAGUC
This 267-nucleotide long non-coding RNA is filed under the name Mytilus galloprovincialis (Mediterranean mussel). The record is from RNAcentral. Lineage: Eukaryota; Metazoa; Mollusca; Bivalvia; Mytilida; Mytilidae.